Molecule: long non-coding RNA, 224 nt
Filed under: Mytilus galloprovincialis (Mediterranean mussel)
Lineage: Eukaryota; Metazoa; Mollusca; Bivalvia; Mytilida; Mytilidae
Source: RNAcentral
CAAUUCAGUUGAUGGGAAAAUAUUUAUGGCAUGAAUCUGUACGCAAUGGCAUUCGGCAAUUUGAUUAGCAGUUGACGUUGCGGCCGUAAACAUGUCUGGCAAAUGACGUUGCGUAAUGUCAAAUUCUGUUGACGUUUCAUUGUCGCUACACGUUGAUCUGUUCAUUGAUGGCCAGCAACAAAUCUUAUCUACUUGUAUCGUUGUCGGAAGGACGGUAAGACGAG